GAUGAACGCUGGCGGCGUGCCUAAUACAUGCAAGUCGAGCGAACAGACGAGGAGCUUGCUCCUCUGACGUUAGCGGCGGACGGGUGAGUAACAUGUGGAUAACCUACCUAUAAGACUGGGAUAACAUCGGGAAACCGGAGCUAAUACCGGAUAAUAUAUUGAACCGCAUGGUUCAAUAGUGAAAGACGGUUUUGCUGUCACUUAUAGAUGGAUCCGCGCCGCAUUAGCUAGUUGGUAAGGUAACGGCUUACCAAGGCGACGAUGCGUAGCCGACCUGAGAGGGUGAUCGGCCACACUGGAACUGAGACACGGUCCAGACUACUACGGGAGGCAGCAGUAGGGAAUCUUCCGCAAUGGGCGAAAGCCUGACGGAGGAGCGCCGCGUGAGUGAUGAAGGUCUUCGGAUCGUAAGACUGUGUUAUGAGUGAAGAACGAAUGUGUAAGUAACUAUGCACGUCUUGACGGUACCUAAUCAGAAAGCCACGGCUAACUACGUG
Molecule: ribosomal RNA, 497 nt
Filed under: uncultured bacterium
Lineage: Bacteria
Description: partial 16S ribosomal RNA
Rfam family: Bacterial small subunit ribosomal RNA
Source: RNAcentral